Molecule: ribosomal RNA, 89 nt
Filed under: uncultured bacterium
Lineage: Bacteria
Description: partial 16S ribosomal RNA
Source: RNAcentral
UGAGCAAUCUGCCCUUCUCUUCGGAAUAAGCGUUGGAAACGACGUCUAAUGCCGAAUACGACCUCCUUUCGCAUGNGUGGAGGAGAGCG